Molecule: small nuclear RNA, 108 nt
Organism: Dipodomys ordii (Ord's kangaroo rat)
Lineage: Eukaryota; Metazoa; Chordata; Mammalia; Rodentia; Heteromyidae
Source: Ensembl
GUGCUCACUUCAGCAGCACAUAUACUAAAAUUGGAAUGGUUACAGAGAAGAUUCACACGGCCCCUGCACAAGGAUGACAUGCAAAUUCGUGAUCCUUUUUUUUUUUUA